CGUAGGGUGCGAGCGUUGUCCGGAAUUAUUGGGCGUAAAGAGCUUGUAGGCGGCUUGUCGCGUCUGCUGUGAAAACCCGGGGCUUAACCCCGGGCUUGCAGUGGGUACGGGCAGGCUAGAGUGUGGUAGGGGAGACUGGAAUUCCUGGUGUAGCGGUGGAAUGCGCAGAUAUCAGGAGGAACACCGAUGGCGAAGGCAGGUCUCUGGGCCAUUACUGACGCUGAGAAGCGAAAGCGUGGGGAGCGAACAGGAUU
Molecule: ribosomal RNA, 254 nt
Filed under: uncultured bacterium
Lineage: Bacteria
Description: partial 16S ribosomal RNA
Rfam family: Bacterial small subunit ribosomal RNA
Source: RNAcentral